This is a non-coding RNA of Paramuricea clavata, 718 nucleotides long. Lineage: Eukaryota; Metazoa; Cnidaria; Anthozoa; Malacalcyonacea; Plexauridae. The record is from the annotation of a GenBank genome assembly.
GGGGAAGUUGCAUGUGUGAAUUUUUGGUGCUCAAUAUUUUUAUGUACUCAUUCAUCUAUGCAGGAUUUUUUCUCAAAACUUUUAAAUUGCAUCGGUAUAAAAGCAGCAACACAAUUCAAAUGCAUGUAUUGGGCUACACAAUGCACCAAUCCACACUACGGCAGGAGCGUAUGUCAGGGCAGGAAGCUCUUUUCGAUUAGGGGGGGGGGGCUGAAAGCGAGGGCCGAAAGCCCGAGGAAAUUUUUAAAUUUAGAGUCUCUGAAAUGCCAUUUCCUGGACUUUGUGGAAAAUUUGACAGAAUUCUAAUGGUCAAGAAACAGCGUUUUAGUAUGUCGAAAUUUACAAUUUAGUAGUACUAAAUGGGCGAAGGCGUAUUUAACCAACUAUAUAUUCGAUAAGUUGCAGAAAAGUAUGGGUAAUAUCUUCAUUCUUUGCAGUUCGCAUGUCAUAGAUUAAAUGAUAAAGGUCUGCAUGAUUUUGAAAAAAAUGAUUACUAGCGAAUUAUUGGGGAGCUGCAGCCCCCGGUUGCUACGGCCCUGUAUAUAUGAUGCUUGAUUAACUGGGGGGGGGGGGGGGGGAGUUGAAUAUUUGGAAUCUCUAGAUCGUCGGAAAUGAUACUUUCAGAGUCUUCAUUAAUUUAUUGAUUAUGAUUCUAGAGAUGCUAUGAAAUUAUAUACUCGGAAAAUGUACUUCUCCUCCUGAGAUCUUAUCAUCUGGG